RNAcentral lists this ribosomal RNA (412 nucleotides) under uncultured Planctomycetaceae bacterium. Its description in RNAcentral is "bacterial SSU rRNA". It matches the Rfam family "Bacterial small subunit ribosomal RNA", at positions 506 to 916 of the family's 1533-position model. The record is from RNAcentral. Lineage: Bacteria; Pseudomonadati; Planctomycetota; Planctomycetia; Planctomycetales; Planctomycetaceae.
UGUCAGCAGCCGCGGUAAGACGAACCGUACAAACGUUACUCGGAAUUACUGGGCUUAAAGGGUGCGUAGGCUGCGCGGAAAGUUGGGUGUGAAAGCCCUCAGCUCAACUGGGGAAUUGCAUUCAAAACUACCGUGCUCGAGGGAGACAGAGGUAAGCGGAACUCAAGGUGGAGCGGUGAAAUGCGUUGAUAUCUUGAGGAACACCGGUGGCGAAAGCGGCUUACUGGGUCUCUUCUGACGCUGAGGCACGAAAGCUAAGGUAGCAAACGGGAUUAGAUACCCCGGUAGUCUUAGCUGUAAACGAUGAGCACUUGUUUGAAGGGUCCUCCAUAGCCUUUCAGACGUAGCGAAAGUGUUAAGUGCUCCGCCUGGGGAGUAUGGUCGCAAGGCUGAAACUCAAAGAAAUUGACGG